RNAcentral lists this ribosomal RNA (837 nucleotides) under uncultured archaeon. RNAcentral's name for it is "bacterial SSU rRNA". It matches the Rfam family "Archaeal small subunit ribosomal RNA", at positions 21 to 859 of the family's 1478-position model. The record is from RNAcentral.
GGUCACUGCUAUCGGUGUUCGUCUAAGCCAUGCGAGUCAUAUGUUCUUUGGAACAUGGCGUACUGCUCAGUAACACGUGGAUAACCUGCCCUUGGGUCCGGCAUAACCCCGGGAAACUGGGGAUAAUACCGGAUAACGCAUAUAUGCUGGAAUUCUUUAUGCGUGAAACGGAUUCGUCUGCCCAAGGAUGGGUCUGCGGCCUAUCAGGUAGUAGUGGGUGUAAUGUACCUACUAGCCGACGACGGGUACGGGUUGUGAGAGCAAGAGCCCGGAGAUGGAUUCUGAGACAUGAAUCCAGGCCCUACGGGGCGCAGCAGGCGCGAAAACUUUACAAUGCGGGAAACCGUGAUAAGGGGACACCGAGUGCCAGCAUCAUAUGCUGGCUGUCCGGGUGUGUAAAAUACACCUGUUAGCAAGGGCCGGGCAAGACCGGUGCCAGCCGCCGCGGUAACACCGGCGGCCCGAGUGGUGAUCGUGAUUAUUGGGUCUAAAGGGUCCGUAGCCGGUUUGGUCAGUCCUCCGGGGAAUCUGACGGCUUAACCGUUAGGCUUUCGGGGGAUACUGCCAGACUUGGAACCGGGAGAGGUAAGAGGUACUACAGGGGUAGGAGUGAAAUCUUGUAAUCCCUGUGGGACCACCUGUGGCGAAGGCGUCUUACCAGAACGGGUUCGACGGUGAGGGACGAAAGCUGGGGGCACGAACCGGAUUAGAUACCCGGGUAGUCCCAGCCGUAAACGAUGCUCGCUAGGUGUCAGGCAUGGCGCGACCGUGUCUGGUGCCGCAGGGAAGCCGUGAAGCGAGCCACCUGGGAAGUACGGCCGCAAGGCUGAAACUUAA